RNAcentral lists this ribosomal RNA (438 nucleotides) under Juliaca kelainops. RNAcentral's name for it is "partial large subunit ribosomal RNA". Lineage: Eukaryota; Metazoa; Arthropoda; Insecta; Hemiptera; Cicadellidae. The record is from RNAcentral.
UCCUGCCCAAUGAUUAAUUAAAUGGCUGCAGUAUCUUGACUGUGCAAAGGUAGCAUAAUAAUUAGUCUUUUAAUUGAGGACUUGUAUGAAUGGAAAAAUGAAAAAUUUAUUUUAUUAAUUUUAUAAUUUUAAUUUAAUUUUUAAGUAAAAAAGCUUAAUUUUUUUUUUGGGACGAUAAGACCCUAUAGAACUUAAAUUUAUGACUAAUUUUUUUAUUGUAGUAUUUUGUGUAAAAAUAUUGGUAUAUAAUUUUUUAUUGGGGUGAUAAAUAAAUCUAAACUUUAUUUUUUUCUAUCAUAUAUUAAUGUUUAAUUUGAUCCAUUCAUUGAUUUAAAGAUUAAGUUACCUUAGGGAUAACAGCGUGAUUUUAAUGGGAAGUUCAUAUUUAUAUUAAAGUUUGCGACCUCGAUGUUGAAUUAAGAUAAGAUUGGGGGGUAG